RNAcentral lists this small nuclear RNA (108 nucleotides) under Ursus thibetanus thibetanus. Lineage: Eukaryota; Metazoa; Chordata; Mammalia; Carnivora; Ursidae. The record is from RNAcentral.
GUGCUUGCUUCGGCAGCACAUACACUAAAAAUUGGAACGAUACAGAGAAGAUUAGCGUGACCCCUGCACAAGGAUGACACACAAAUUCGUGAAGCAUUCCAUAUUUUU